AUGGCUACCUACAGCCUGGCGAACAAGCGACUAUGCGCCCUGGAAGACAUCGAAAGGAAAUCGCCGCCAUCCUUCACAUCCUUUAGAAUGCAGGUACAGUGAUCCUAGAAUUGCCCAAGGAAAAAAACCAACCAGCAGCUUCUAGACCAGCAGGCGGCGGCCUUCACCGCUUCAGUGCCGCACGUGGAGGCGGAGCUGUCGGCUCAGAUCCGCUACCUCACCCAGGUGGCCACGGGGCAGCCCCAUGAGGUCUCCAGCUACUCUUCAAGGAAGGACUGUCAGACGGCUCUGAAGCGAGUGGACUAUGCCGGCCUCAAGCUCAGUGAUGUGGCUUGAACCUGUGAGCAGAUGCUGGAGAACUAGGCAGGGAGGUGGACCCAGAGCUCAGAGGGAGACCAUUGCCUGCGCCAUGGGACAGAACCUGGGAACAUGUACGAUGGGGAGCAUGGGCACCCACAUGCCCUGCUGCUCAAAGUACACUUGGGGAGGCCAAGGCCAGAGGAUCAUGUGACGUAGGGAGUUUGAGACUAGCCUGGCCAACUUCGUGAAACUCCGUCAAAGACAAAGGGGCAAAUGGUGGGCAUGGAAAAACUGAAGCCCGAGCCUGCCCACAGCUAUGCCCUGGCCUCUCCAGCAGGGUGCUCCUGCCCUGUACUCCACCAACACCCUGACAGGCUCAGACAGAGAUGGAAACUCACACAUCCAACCCACUUCCUCAAACACUUUAUGCUCCUGCCCCAGGCUUUGCGCAGACUUGACCUGAUGAAGAUACAUUCUUCUUCACUGGGAGAGACAAAAUAAGAACUAGAAUUUUAAUAAUAAAAGCAACAACAAUAAAAAAAAAAA
RNA transcript from Sapajus apella (tufted capuchin), 846 nucleotides. It is a transcript of the gene named mediator of RNA polymerase II transcription subunit 11 pseudogene, with no coding region annotated. The record is from RefSeq and is a predicted model, not a curated record. The transcript has a single exon. NCBI's taxonomy places the organism in Eukaryota, Metazoa, Chordata, Mammalia, Primates, Cebidae.